RNAcentral lists this long non-coding RNA (470 nucleotides) under Androctonus crassicauda. The record is from RNAcentral. Lineage: Eukaryota; Metazoa; Arthropoda; Arachnida; Scorpiones; Buthidae.
CAAGAAGUUUAUACAGAAUACAAAGAAGUUAUGUUUGAAGGUGACUCUAUCUAAUAGUAAGCAUAAACAUUAUAAAUUAAGAUCAGAAGUAGAUGAAUUAGAAUCUACCUUGCUACAAAUACAAGAUAAUGAAGUAAAAAGAAAGAAGGACCAAGGUAAAUGUAACACACAGACCUUAACAGAGAAGCAGAGAUAUAUCCAUAUUGGAAAGAUGAAAUGGAUUAUUAUCAAACAGGUUAAGUACAAGACAACAAAUAAAUGCCCUAUGGACUUGAUCAUCUCUAAACCAGAAAACCAUGCCAUUCCUGCCUAUGCAGAAGAGCUUUUCACGAAAGGGCCUAACUAUGCUAUAAUAGUAGAACAAGAUAUAAUAUUGGGUUUACCAGAAAUAGAGCAGAUUUUUACAUAUCAAAGUCUGUACAAAAAGAAAAGACAAGAUGGGCAUACGUCUUUUGAAAAGAAAGAGAAAC